CCCUUAGAUGUUCUGGGCCGCACGCGCGCUACACUGUUCGACGCAGCGAGUCUUAACCUUGACCGAAAGGUUUGGGUAAUCUUCAGCAAAGUCGAACGUGAUGGGGAUCGAUCAUUGCAAUUAUUGAUCGUGAACGAGGAAUUCCUAGUAAGUGCAAGUCAUCAGCUUGCGCUGAUUACGUCCCUGCCCUUUGUACACACCGCCCGUCGCUACUACCGAUUGAAUGGUUUAGUGAGAUCCUCGGAUUGGUCCCGGCGCGGCCUCUGGUCGUGCCGGAGUGCCGAAAAGAAUGUCGAACUUGAUCAUCUAGAGGAAGUAAAAGUCGUAACA
This 330-nucleotide ribosomal RNA is filed under the name uncultured eukaryote. Its description in RNAcentral is "partial 18S ribosomal RNA". It matches the Rfam family "Eukaryotic small subunit ribosomal RNA", at positions 1470 to 1796 of the family's 1831-position model. The record is from RNAcentral.